GGGUGCAGUAUGUGUGUCUGAGGGGUGCGGUGUGUGAUGUGUGUGAGAGUGCGGUGUGUGAGAGUGCUCUGUGUGAUGUGUGUGUGUGUCUGAUGAGUGUGAGAGUGCUGUGUAUGAUGUGUGUGAAAGUGCCGUGAGUGAGAGUGCCGUGAGUGAGAGUGCCGUGAGUGAGAGUGCUGUGUGAGAGAGUGCUGUGUGAGAGUGCUAGAGUGCUGUGAGAGACUGCUGUGUGAGAGAGUGCUGUGUGUGAGAGAGUG
Molecule: non-coding RNA, 257 nt
Organism: Pelobates cultripes (western spadefoot toad)
Lineage: Eukaryota; Metazoa; Chordata; Amphibia; Anura; Pelobatidae
Source: the annotation of a GenBank genome assembly